CUAGUACUCCCUUCGUCCGGAAAUAUUUAUCAUCUAAAUGAAUAAAAGAGAAUGUAUUUAGAUGUAUUUUAGUUCUAGAUAUAUCUUUUUCUAUCCAUUUUGAUGACAAAUAUUUCCGAACAAAGAAAGAACGUG
Non-coding RNA from Triticum aestivum (bread wheat), 135 nucleotides. Lineage: Eukaryota; Viridiplantae; Streptophyta; Magnoliopsida; Poales; Poaceae. The record is from Rfam.